CCAAUAGCGUAUAUUAAAGUUGUUGCAGUUAAAAAGCUCGUAGUUGAAUUUCGGGAUUCAUCCGUUGGUCGGGCUUCACGGUCCGUACUGGUGUGAUGGGUUCCUACCUUCUGAAUAACCGGCAUGCAAUUAAUUUGGUGCGCCGGGGAAGCAGAACUAUUACCUUGAAAAAAUUAGAGUGCUUAAAGCAGGCAAGUGCCUGAAUAGGUUAGCAUGGAAUAAUAAAAUAGGACGGCAUGGUUCUAUUUUGUUGGUUUCUAGGAUCACCGUAAUGAUUAAUAGGGAUAGUUGGGGGCAUUAGUAUUCAAUUGUCAGAGGUGAAAUUCUUGGAUUUAUUGAAGACUAACUUCUGCGAAAGCAUUUGCCAAGGAUGUUUUCAUUAAUCAAGAACGAAAGUUAGGGGAUCGAAGACGAUCAGAUACCGUCGUAGUCUUAACCAUAAACUAUGCCGACUAGGGAUCGGACGAUGUUAAUUUUUUAAUGACUCGUUCGGCGCCUUACG
Molecule: ribosomal RNA, 502 nt
Filed under: uncultured Glomeromycotina
Lineage: Eukaryota; Fungi; Glomeromycota
Description: partial small subunit ribosomal RNA
Rfam family: Eukaryotic small subunit ribosomal RNA
Source: RNAcentral